This 129-nucleotide small nucleolar RNA is filed under the name Mus caroli (Ryukyu mouse). Its description in RNAcentral is "predicted gene, 23271 (MGP_CAROLIEiJ_G0036697.1)". It matches the Rfam family "Small nucleolar RNA SNORA17". From Rfam's summary of the family: snoRNA ACA 17 belongs to the H/ACA family of snoRNAs and is predicted to guide pseudouridylation of the 28S rRNA at positions U4659 and U4598. It shares the same host gene together with ACA43. Lineage: Eukaryota; Metazoa; Chordata; Mammalia; Rodentia; Muridae. The record is from RNAcentral.
UCUGCCCCUAGAGAUGUUGCAGAUGUUGCUGCUGUGUCACAUGUGACUCAGUAAGUGACAGAGAGGAGAGACUAUGUGUAUGCUCUGUGUUCAGACUACAAACAUCUGAAUAAUUAGUAUCCUACCAUU